RNAcentral lists this ribosomal RNA (466 nucleotides) under uncultured bacterium. RNAcentral's name for it is "partial 16S ribosomal RNA". It matches the Rfam family "Bacterial small subunit ribosomal RNA", at positions 28 to 507 of the family's 1533-position model. The record is from RNAcentral.
GACGAACGCUGGCGGCGCGCCUAACACAUGCAAGUCGAACGAGCGAGAGAGAGCUUGCUUUCUCGAGCGAGUGGCGAACGGGUGAGUAACGCGUGAGGAACCUGCCUCAAAGAGGGGGACAACAGUUGGAAACGACUGCUAAUACCGCAUAAGCCCACGACCCGGCAUCGGGUAGAGGGAAAAGGAGCAAUCCGCUUUGAGAUGGCCUCGCGUCCGAUUAGCUAGUUGGUGAGGUAACGGCCCACCAAGGCGACGAUCGGUAGCCGGACUGAGAGGUUGAACGGCCACAUUGGGACUGAGACACGGCCCAGACUCCUACGGGAGGCAGCAGUGGGGAAUAUUGCACAAUGGGGGAAACCCUGAUGCAGCGACGCCGCGUGGAGGAAGAAGGUCUUCGGAUUGUAAACUCCUGUUGUUGAGGAAGAUAAUGACGGUACUCAACAAGGAGGUGACGGCUAACUACGUG